This 385-nucleotide ribosomal RNA is filed under the name uncultured eukaryote. Its description in RNAcentral is "partial 18S ribosomal RNA". It matches the Rfam family "Eukaryotic small subunit ribosomal RNA", at positions 592 to 976 of the family's 1831-position model. The record is from RNAcentral.
CAAUAGCGUAUAUUAAAGUUGUUGCAGUUAAAAAGCUCGUAGUCGGAUUUCUGGCUCGGUGGAACGGUCCAUUCGGCUUAGUCGAAUGUGAACCUGCUUUCAUCAGCCAUCCUCGUGGAUUGGCAUCCGGGCUACCCGCUUUGGGUGUUCGAUCCGCGUCAUUUACUGUGAACAAAUUAGAGUGUUCAAAGCAGGCUUACGCCACUGAAUACAUUAGCAUGGAAUAAUACUAUAGGACUUUGGUGUUUCUAUUGUUGGUUACGCGCCAAGGUAAUGAUUAAUAGGGAUAGUUGGGGGUAUUCGUAUUCAAUUGUCAGAGGUGAAAUUCAUGGAUUUCUGGAAGACGAACAACUGCGAAAGCAUUUACCAAGGAUGUUUUCAUUGA